RNAcentral lists this ribosomal RNA (2639 nucleotides) under Triticum aestivum (bread wheat). RNAcentral describes it as "partial small subunit ribosomal RNA". Lineage: Eukaryota; Viridiplantae; Streptophyta; Magnoliopsida; Poales; Poaceae. The record is from RNAcentral.
CGACUCUAGACUAGUCGUGACUAGUCUAGACUCACGGUCGACGAGUCGACAUGGCGACGAGUCGACGUGAGUUAAGCAGCAGGCAGUCAGGGGAGGAGCACAAGUGCACAGCAGCAGCAGCAACCAGGGGAGGAGGGGAGGAGCACACCACCAGCAGCAGUAACCAGGGCCAACUGAGAGAUGGGCCACUAGUUAUGCACUUCCCUGUGGCCCAAAAGCCCAUCUAGUAGCUAUAUACUCCUCCCGUGACCUAAUCCACCAUCCACACUCCCUCCUCCCUCACCACAGCCGCCAUACAUUCUGCUGCCACUCUCUUGCCACCAGUCCACCACUUCUCCUCCCAGCGAUGGAUCUCUCAACUCCCCUGCAGCAGCUCUCUUGCCACCGCUCCUCCUCCCAGCCUGUUCCUCUUGCCGCUGCAGCUUCAGCAGCAGCGGCGGCGGCGGCCAGCGCUACAGCAGGGGCGCAGAAGCAGCAGCAGCAGCGAGGCAGCACAACAGCAGCAGCAGCAGCAUGGCGGCAGGAGAGUGCUCCAGAUCCAGCGAUGCCUCGAGUCGUUCGACCCAAAAACCACGACUAGUCGUGACUAGUCGAGACUAGUCGCGCGAGUCGCUCGACUCAUCCCAGGAGUCGAGUCGAGAGGCUGAGUCGGCCCUGGAACUGCGACUCGUCGACUAGUCGACGACUAGUCGCGACUAGUCGAGCGACUCGAAAUCCAUGAUUGCUUUUAGAUAAUUAGGCGCAUGAAUCAUGAUAGCUUGUAUAUACUGCUUUAGAAUACUGUCAUGGUGUUUUUCAUGGUCAUGUUUUACUGCAUCCACCCUACAAUCAAUCUAAAAACAUUCUAACCCAGCAUCUCGGUCUCCUGUGAACCAAUUUUGUAAGCCAGAUUGAUGGCAUGUGUAAACAAAGGCCUACAUUUAUUCUCCUUUUUCAUACUUGUGAAGACCAAAUUUAGAAAAUUGAACUGUCUGUGAUUUCAAUCGGGUCUGAAGCUUCUGUCUACUAUAAUUCUGUUCCCUGCUGAUUAUAAUUCUAUUCACAUAAAUACAUGAAGUUUGUGGUUCAUUUUGUUAACUGCUCUAUAAUAGAUAUUACUAUUUUUUAAGGUUGGUGUUGACUGAUGACAACCAAUAAGAUCGCCCUGAAGUAGCCCUCUCUCUAGCACAUCUGCUACCAUGCACCAUUGAUUCAUAUAAUAGAUGACAAAUUUGUGAUAGGCUCAUUACUUUACAUGAAUGGAUCUGGAUCUUAUGGAAUUCUGGAUGGGAAAGAGUUACUUAUCAGUUUACUUUAUCUGAUACAUUGAAAGUUUUUUUGUUUCUAUUUAUGGUGAAAGAAUUGGGUUCUUCACAAUAUAGUUGAUGUAAAGUUAGUUAAGCCGACAUUCCAAAUUACUUUACUAGAUUAGUCGUAUUGCACUUAUUUUUUAUAGAAGUUGAAUAUUUACUUUGUUUUUGCUUCUGCUGGUACCUAAAAGUUUAUCCAACUAUUUUAUUUUCCUUGAUGCAGCACAAUGACCAUCCUCGCAGAAGCAUAGGUGGUAGAUGGUGAGCUUUUUGGAGGAAGCGGAGGCGGAGAUUUCUAUUCACCAAAAAGAUGGAGCCGCCGUCGACAAGCACUGACGAGCAGCUCAGUCUCAGCCCACGCAUCGACGGGCUGAGGCCGGCUUCCAAUAGAAGUCAAAACAGGGAAUGGCUUUUUAAGCUGAUGGAGGGAUCACUGGACGCGGUGUUCAUGUUUGUGUUGGUGUUCAUGGUGAUUUUGAUAUCCAAAUAUUAUGACAAUAUAUAGAUAGAGGAGAUAGCCCUCCGCGUCCUGGUGGCCACUGUAUGCUGCAGCGAAGAGCACACUUCAAUUGGUGAGCACGCAGAUGAGUGAUCUGAGAUGUGCUUUGACAUUGGGAUUUGUAGUUGUCAAGGACGUCAUUACCCUGGCCAUUCCUAUGCUUCGGUGUUAACAAGCAGUCUUCGGAAUCAUCAAUAAGCCAACAGUGAGAAAUUAGUUUCAGAAAUUGAGUUCCCUUAAUAGGGAAACAAAUAGGGCACAAUCAGAUGAAGCAUCAAGGCAAUGGAUUGAACAAUCAGAUGAAGCAUCCAGCUCGUGGAGAAGCAAGGUCUGCAGGAAGACCAAUCGGACUGAGGCAAGAUAGUACAAUUGAUGGCAAUGGACGGAUGAGGGCAAGAUGGUCUUCGCGAAAAAGCUUGGCCGCUUGCUCGCCGGCUUGGAGGCAGCUAAGCCCUGGGUCUGGCAAGGCAAUUGCUUGCUUACUAGUGGAGAAGGCUUCUUCGGGUAAAAUCAAGAAGGUGAAGAAGGCUCUCAGGAGCAUAGGCAAGAAGAGUGGCGCCAUUGGUAAAGCGUCCGUGGCUGAUUAAUGAAUGAUACUCAGUCUCUUCGACCAUCAUCUCUGAUUGGCUCAUCUUGGUGGGUUUGCUGGUGUUUGUUGUCUACAGCUUUGGAUUCGUUGGGGUUUUCUUUGCGAUGCAGAAGUGCGAGCGAUUGUGGUUGUUGCUCGUUUUAUAUUUUUGUCGGGUUGACCGUGGGGUCAUGGAGUUUCUUUCUUUGUGAGUAGUCCGCAUGUGGUCUAUAUGUAACGGUUUUCGCCCGGUUUUCCGUUAAUUAACUGGGCAAUUCUCUUC